GGGUCAAUAGGUUGGUCGUGCCACCGGUACGUACUGGUCUCACUGAUUCCUCCUUCAUGAAGACCCGUAAUGCCAUUAAUUUGGUGUUGCGGGGAAACAGGACUGUUACUUUGAAAAAAUUAGAGUGUUUAAAGCAAGCUAACGCUUGAAUACAUUAGCAUGGAAUAAUGAAAUAGGACGAUCGAUCCUAUUUUGUUGGUUUCUAGGAUUGACGUA
Molecule: ribosomal RNA, 216 nt
Filed under: Glomeromycotina sp.
Lineage: Eukaryota; Fungi; Glomeromycota
Description: partial small subunit ribosomal RNA
Rfam family: Eukaryotic small subunit ribosomal RNA (bases 40-216)
Source: RNAcentral